RNAcentral lists this ribosomal RNA (513 nucleotides) under uncultured bacterium. RNAcentral's name for it is "partial 16S ribosomal RNA". It matches the Rfam family "Bacterial small subunit ribosomal RNA", at positions 28 to 523 of the family's 1533-position model. The record is from RNAcentral.
GAUGAACGCUGGCGGCGUGCCUAAUACAUGCAAGUCGAGCGAACAGACGAGGAGCUUGCUCCUCUGACGUUAGCGGCGGACGGGCGAGUAACACGUGGGUAACCUACCUAUAAGACUGGGAUAACUUCGGGAAACCGGAGCUAAUACCGGAUAAUAUAUUGAACCGCAUGGUUCAAUAGUGAAAGACGGUUUUGCUGUCACUUAUAGAUGGAUCCGCGCCGCAUUAGCUAGUUGGUAAGGUAACGGCUUACCAAGGCAACGAUGCGUAGCCGACCUGAGAGGGUGAUCGGCCACACUGGAACUGAGACACGGUCCAGACUCCUACGGGAGGCAGCAGUAGGGAAUCUUCCGCAAUGGGCGAAAGCCUGACGGAGCAACGCCGCGUGAGUGAUGAAGGUCUUCGGAUCGUAAAACUCUGUUAUUAGGGAAGAACAAAUGUGUAAGUAACUAUGCACGUCUUGACGGUACCUAAUCAGAAAGCCACGGCUAACUACGUGCCAGCAGCCGCAGUAA